GGUGUUUUUUUUCCCGGGGGGGGGCCCUCGGAGGGAUCAUUACCGAGUUUACAACUCCCAAACCCAAUGUGAACGUUACCAAACUGUUGCCUCGGCGGGAUCUCUGCCCCGGGUGCGUCGCAGCCCCGGACCAAGGCGCCCGCCGGAGGACCAACCAAAACUCUUAUUGUAUACCCCCUCGCGGGUUUUUUUUAUAAUCUGAGCCUUCUCGGCGCCUCUCGUGGGCGUUUCGAAAAUGAAUCAAAACUUUCAACAACGGAUCUCUUGGUUCUGGCAUCGAUGAAGAACGCAGCGAAAUGCGAUAAGUAAUGUGAAUUGCAGAAUUCAGUGAAUCAUCGAAUCUUUGAACGCACAUUGCGCCCGCCAGUAUUCUGGCGGGCAUGCCUGUCCGAGCGUCAUUUCAACCCUCGAACCCCUCCGGGGGGUCGGCGUUGGGGAUCGGCCCUGCCUUGGCGGUGGCCGUCUCCGAAAUACAGUGGCGGUCUCGCCGCAGCCUCUCCUGCGCAGUAGUUUGCACACUCGCAUCGGGAGCGCGGCGCGUCCACAGCCGUUAAACACCCAACUUCUGAAAUGUGACCUCGGAUCAGUAGGAAACCCCAGUU
Molecule: ribosomal RNA, 602 nt
Filed under: Trichoderma harzianum
Lineage: Eukaryota; Fungi; Ascomycota; Sordariomycetes; Hypocreales; Hypocreaceae
Description: eukaryotic LSU rRNA
Rfam family: 5.8S ribosomal RNA (bases 245-398)
Source: RNAcentral